Molecule: long non-coding RNA, 770 nt
Organism: Hyla sarda
Lineage: Eukaryota; Metazoa; Chordata; Amphibia; Anura; Hylidae
Exons: 6
Source: RefSeq, a predicted model, not a curated record
CAGCAAUGGAGCAUGCUGGCUCUUCUGAUAGCUGGGAAUGGACGUCCGGACAGUAGCGCUUACUUUAAGCCCUGCCCCCAAUUACUGAGGCACCCCCACUUAAAAUAAGCAGGGGGUGCUGCUCUACGUCUAACGCUGCUUCUCCUUGAUAAUGUAGACUGCAACAUCAGACCUAUGCAUCGAGUAGGUUACAAAGUGACCGUCUGCACUUGGUCAGUGGAUCAGCAACACAGUGUCAGGACUAUAUCCGAAAAUUAUGGAGCAGAGUGACUUGAUUCUAGGGCCGGUGAUCUAGAAAUUGUCAGGACUGGACCUCUUUCCAGCUGAAUCUCUACUAAAGUGCUAUGGGCGAACUACUAGAAGGCAGACCAUAGGAGGAGACCCAGUGAUGACAGCAAGGUGGAAGGAAAAGGACAAAGACAGUGACACCUAGAGGUCAAUUUUGAAAAUAGGUAGAAACGGCUAUAGGAGAUGGUACAAACUAUAGUAAAAAUAAUAUCUUUAAAAUAUAACAAAAAAUAAAUGCAGACAAAUAAACAGUUUGCUGGGCUUUGUGUUCAUUUAUUUUCCAAUACUGUUAUUUUUUUUAAAUUGCGUUUUCAUACAGAUGAAACAAAAAGGACGGCGCCACCUAGUGGACAGUUUUGAAGAUAUUGAAAGCGUAUUAUAUAAAGCAACAAGUAGAAAGUAAUUUAUUUGCAAAAAGUGCAAAAUCUAGAUAUCCCAUAUUACAGAAGUCCGACAGAACAUGUAAAAAACACAAUAGGAUC